RNAcentral lists this long non-coding RNA (22102 nucleotides) under Coffea arabica (coffee). RNAcentral describes it as "long non-coding RNA (CARA_LNC000331)". The record is from RNAcentral. Lineage: Eukaryota; Viridiplantae; Streptophyta; Magnoliopsida; Gentianales; Rubiaceae.
UUUUUUUUUUUUUUUUUGUUUUUUCCCUCCCUUUUGGUUCCUUUGAUGAAGGUGAGGGAAAGCCCAUGGGCCAAGUGCAUAUGGGCCCAAAGGGCCGGUAGCGAGGGGCAACCAAAAAAUUCAGAUCGCGUUCACUCCAAAAAGAGUUUUAAACCCACAUCGUCGUUGGAAGCUAUAAAUACGGAUAUGAUAUUUUUUUUUUUGGAAGCAGCCACAAAUAUGGGGUUGAAACUUGUUGGAAGCCAAUGAUUAGCUCAGUGUACUAAAAUUGGAUUCUUAAUGCAAAUCCUUAAUUUUUGGAUGAUUUGAUUCAGCAAGCUGGAAAGGGACUGGGCGCCGGCGGUAUUACUGUAGUCGUUAAUCAUAUACUAUAACACUACUGCGUGAUUGAUUUUAGUCUAAAGUCGUGUGUUUAGCUCGCUCAGCUUCUUGCAGUUUUCCCCUAAUUUGCCAGACCCCAGAGACGUAAUUAAUAGCAGAGCCAGAGAAGUUGAAAUGACGGCAUAAGUAAAGUUGAAAUGUAUGUAUAAGACACUUCCAAGAGGGAUGGCACUUGGGAUCAUAAAACCAAUAUAUGUUUACUCGUAUCAAAUGAAAAAAGAGCAAGAAAAGGAAGCAUUCAUAUCAAGCUUUUCUGUGUCCAGUGUUAAAGCACCGGAAAACCACCUAAUACGGUACUGAGACAUCCGACCUCGUUAUACUUGAGACUAGACUUAUUUGAAGAACUGGGGAAACCCGCUUUAAUUUGGUGGAAAGAAGAUUUCUUCUGCAGUCCUCUUUGAGCGGAAUUGUUGCUCCACUUCCGGGGACACCUUGAAGGAAGCCUGCAGCACUUCCGGGGAUAAGGCCUUCCAGACCGAUGUUCUUCCAGCCAUGUGAGUGAAAAUGGGACUGCCAUACCACAGCAAAAAAUUAAAAAAAAAAAAAAAAAACACGGCCAGAAUGAAUUUACAAGAUAGAGAAAAAAAAACAAAACAAACAAGCAUUGAAUUUGAGGAGUACUGACUCUGGAGUUGUGACGAUAGAGAACCACUCGAGACCAUCAGCAUCAGCAAUUUUCGAGACGACGAAAAACCGGGAACUAUGAACAGAUUACCAGCCUUAACAGUUGUUUCUAGGACCCGCUUGCCAUCAACGCCAACAAUCUGGGCACGGCCGCUGCCCCUGAUAAUGUAAGUAACCUGCAGAGCUGAAUCGCAAGAGAAGCCGGGCGAACACAUGGAGUGGCCAUAGAUUCUAACGAGAUCUGCGCCGAAACCAACCUCACCAACCAAGGGCAAGUUUUUGGUGUUCAAAACCACAACCUUUCCACCGUCUUUAAUGUCAACAUCCAGCGGAGCUUCCUCGCAGUUCAGGGCAAGGCCAUUUCGAUGCUCGCUCUUGGGCUCAGGCAGCUUAAACCCUGCGUCGAGCUUGACUAUUCCCUUGGCGGUUUGGCUUUCAACAAGGGUUUUCACAACACUUUCUUCUAAGUUCCAGGCUCUGCUUGCAAACUCGGUCGUGAACCCGGUGAAGAUGCCAUUGCUGCCCGUCAAGUAAAAGUCGGUGAAUGAACCGGCUUUGUGACCUGUUUUCGUAUCGCCUAAAAAGAGGACGACGAGCUCUGUGUCCUCUUUGUUGUACCACCAUGUAACAACACCAAACGGAAGCGCAAUAGCAUCACCCUUUUUAAUUGCAACAACCUUUUCUUCUUUCUCAGGCAGGACAACUCCAGCUACUCCAGAACCUAAGUACAAGAGCCAUUAAUUCCAUAGACUGUUGAAAUUACAUAGAGAAUUCCCAAAAUCAAUGAGUUACAAUCAUUUCAAACCAUAGGCACAAAUCGACAAGUUGCAUCAGAAUCCUUUUUGAGUAAAGGAUGCGAGAACCUCAUUCCCAUUAACAAAUCCAUGAAUUGAUCGUUGAUCAAAAGCAGGGCAGCAAAAUACUCGAUUUAAUAAAUAAAUAAAUAAAUAAAACCCACCCCCAAAAAAAAAAAAGUAAAAACUGAGUGUUAUACUGCUCAUACCACCCCAAAAAAGGAAAAACAAAAGAACAUAAGAAGAUUCAAGUCAUACUCAAAUUAAAAGGAAAGACCGCGGUUACCUUGAAGAACAUAAGCAACCUUAGCAGAAUCAGAGUAACGGGGAGGGCAAAUCCAUUCUUCUCGAGAGCAAGCUUGGCUGCACCAAUAUUGCCUUGACGCAGCAUGGGGAGUUCAUCCGGGCACCAUGCAUAGUAGGCCCCACCAUCUCCUCCAUAAGCCUUCUUCGCCAACUUUGGUGAUAGGUCAAUCUCCAUCUCCUUUAUAACCCACAACAAAAACAAACAACUUUUCUUUUAUGGCGAAGAAAACAGCUGAAAAUAACGAGAACUGGCGAAAAGGAUAGUGGAGGGGCUUGGUAUUUAUAGGGGAAACACUGGAGUUUGGUGAGGAUAAGGAUUGAGAUAAUUUGUAACGGAAAAGAUACCGAUAGUAACACGUUAGGAUUUUGUGGAUUAAUUUGUGAUAGACUACAAUUUUGAGUGUUGUGCUAAUCGAAUUAAUUUGUUUUAUAUAUUAGUAAAUGCAAUUAAGUUUUUGCAAGGUUGAUUGACCUAAUGGCCAAGCAUUAAUUCAUUGAGGGAGAAUUGGAAAUUGGAAAACGAAGGGUGGGAAAAGUAAAUACCAUAAUAUUACGUCCCAACUUAUAAUUUUUUUUCCCUUCAAAAUAAAGGUGAAGAUUUUGAAUGCCAUAUUUAGUUGUUAUCCAUUGAGGACAAUCCUCUUAUUGUUAGGAUAUCUUAAUGGAUUAGACUGGAUAAUGAUUAAAUUGUAUAAUAUAUAACAUAUGACAAUCCUCUUAUUUUGGAAAAGUAGAUCGUUCUCAUCUCUACUAAUUGAUUUUUUUUCCCCCUUUUUUGUUUGUUCUUUUUUCUUUAUUUUUUUUUUUUUUUUGCAACAACCCAAGAUUGACCUUUAAGGCAAAAAAAAAAAAAAAACCUAAACUAAAUUCCAUUAUAUUCUCAUAAAAUGUAUAUGCGAAGAGCUUACUUCUCCUCAAUAAAUAAAACUCAUUUAUACCUGUUACCUAAUUAUGAUCCAUCCAAACCCGCUCAAAUCACACAUUUUGAUACCUCUACUUAUCCUUAACUACUUCAUAUCAAUAGCAAUGUCUAAUGUAAUGACAACCCAAUCAUCCAAGGUUAUUCCAUGCAAGUUGCAACAAGUGCGAGAAAGAUAUAAAACAAGAAAAGCAAGCCACUGGCAGCAAACUUAAACUAGAGUAGGCUUUCAACUUUGUCUCUGAAAUAAACUGGACCAAAAAGGAUUAUUUGAAAAACAUUCUGUUUGUAUUAUUUGAAAUGAUUGGUAACACCACAAGAACGUCCUAGGACUUAAAAUCGGGGCGGUCCCUGGGCAAAAGGGAAACAAUAUGUUGAAAUAAGUUUUUCUUUUUUGAACAAAAAUGUUGAAUUAAGUUUAAAUUUUAUAAGUAUACAAUUGAAACAACAACUAGAUACAACAAUAAUUUUAGCAACUAGCACUCCUCCAUUAUGUUUACCAAAGAAUAUUAGCCAAAAAAAAUUUGUGAUUCUCUUAAGUGAUUUGAACCUCCAUCCAAUUUCCUAAAAACAUUUUUAUUUUCAAAAGUAGAAGAUUUUGAAUCCAAAUCAAAUUUCUAAUGACAGUAAUCUAUAUCUAUGUCUAUAUGUAUUAGAGGGGCGGGUUUUUGAUGAGGAGCUUUUUAAUUUAGUAAUCUAUAUCUAUAUGUAUAUCUAAAUCCAAAUCCUUUUUUACUACAAUUUUGUUUUUUUUUUAAUUUAGUAAUUUUUAUCUCUAAACUAACGGAUAAUAACCGCCCCUGUAAAUAACUCACAAACCAGAUUGACACUUUAUUUUUACUACAAUUUUAGAUUUUUUAAUUUAAUAAUGUUUAUCUCUUAGCCAACGGAUAAUAACCACCCCUACAAAUCAUGCCUACGGUAAAAUUACUCCAAUUUAAUUAAUUACUGAACAAAUUUUUCAAUUCAUAAUCAUAACCUAUAUUUUUUUCAUUCUUGCUAGGUUAAAUAUUUUCAAAUACUUGCUCGUAUUCAAAGCAUUAAUAUAGAAAAACAUGUUCUAUGAGCUAUGCAAAAAUUAUACUCAACUAUGUGAAAGUCAUUUUGCAAAAAACGUGUAUGCAUUAUAAUGAUAUGGUCGACACUAUUGUCAGAUAAUUAAUUUCAUGUACCUUUAAUUUCAACAUAUUUUUCUAUAUUGUAUAUAACAUUUUUUUUUUUUCAAACAGGUGCAAUGUUAAUAUACAAAUUAGAGAUUCCAGUGGUAACUUACAUCUUAAUCUAUAAAACAGACAUGAACUAUUUGUAUUUCAUUGUGAUGCUUCUUAUUAGAGAAUUGCAAAUGAAAAUAGAAUUUCUUAAUAUAUAUUUAUUUUUUAUAAUAUUAUUUAUAAACUAUAUAAAAAAUACACUAAUUUUGAAUUCCGCAUGCUUUUAAUUCUGAGAAAAUGGAGAUAGAUAGUUGUUGAAUAAUAUACACAUUUUAUUAUACAUCAAAUUAUUGUUAAACAAAUCUUAUAUUUUAAUUAUGUUGGUACGAUUUUUUAAUUAUUAUUUUUUGAUUCACCCCUCUUUUAAUUUUUUUUCAAUAAUGUCAGCACCGUGCAUAGCACGGGUAUUCAAACUAGUUCUUUUACUAUUUAUGAGCUGGUUGUAAAUGGUAAAAUAAUGAGUCAUGGUCCGAAGACGACUUAUUAAUUAUCACACCAUUGUAGUAACUAUAGAUAAAACAAAACCAAGAAAAAAAUAAAAUUCAAAUUCAAAUUGUGCCUAGCUUAAUCAAAAGAUCCAGAACCUUGUACAGUUUGAUUGAAUUAUAUGAUUUGAUCAAAUUGUUUGGGAACAUCUUUAAAUAGUUUAAGGCCCAGUAUUUUUUGGGUGGUUUUUCCGGGGUGGGGAACACAACCUCAUUGGUUCUCAGCGACAGCUUACUUUUGCUGCCAAAAAUGAAAUUCCUGUGGCUGCUGGGAUUCGAGCCCAGGUCUCUACGGCCACAACGUAGAAUUCUAACCACUAAACUACAGCCACAAGUUGUGGGACAAAACCAAAUAGGCAGGUUUAUGCGUAGAAUAGCUGGAAUGAAUCAAAAUUUACACUAGAUAGUUUAGUGGGUAAACAACUUACUGUUAAAAGUUGAGUGGUUAAAAUUUUAGUAUUUGAAAAGUUUAGGCAGCUACUUGAAUAAUUUGCUCGUUUUCUUUUCUCCCAAUAGAAUCGCAAUCGAAAAUUCGAAUACAAAAAAUACUUGAGAACACUAGAAAGCAGUUUUUGGAAAUCAGAAGCUAAAACCAGAUUUUUAAAAUCAAUUUAAAACAAAGCCCGUGUGAAGAAGGAGAAGGAUAGAGGCAAUGAGGCACGCUAAUCUUCUUCUUUUUCCUGGGACUAUUAUCUGUUGUGUGUUUUGCUCGGUCACAUUAGCACGAUGUCCUUAAAGUUGGUGAAUGUACUUAGCACCCCAUAAUGUUAAUACAAGGAAAAUGCCUUUGCUUUGCUUCCAAUUUCCAUUCGAUACAUGUCAUUCCUUGAGGUUAUUUGUUCCUUUAAUCGAUUAAAUGAAUUCGUUCGAACCUGAUAAAUAAUAACAUUAAAAACUAUUUCCUCAAAGAGAAAAUAGUUAUUUUGGAAUUUGCAAGUUUUAAAUCCUCUAAAUUAGGCUAGAGCUGUUCCUUGUCACCAAUCGUGAAAUAUAUACCACUAGCUUUUCAGAAGAUGAUUGCACCAUAUACCUUCGGGCCAUUUCCACCAUGUUAAAUACUAGCAAUUCCUACGCGUUUCAUUGGAAAGGAAAAACGAAAAUGAACAAGGAGGGCGAGAAGAUGAUGUCGCUCAAUUUAGCAGGUUUAUAUUUCUAAUUUGUAAAGUUUAAGAAUUGAAAAUAGGAAUAUACAGGUCAUUCAAGGCAGCAACUCGAAUAAUCAACUCGUGCAUUAUAAAACAAAAGCUUUGUGUUUGAGAAAAAACAACAUACAUUUUUCCCCCCUUCUUCGGGAGGUUAGCUCUAGGUGCAGCCAAAACUACAAACCAAGUUACCUGAACUUCGCAUUGCCCACUUUCUGCAGGCUUCAAAACCGAAUCAGGGGAAGAAAAUUAUAUAUAUAUAAAUAAGGGGCCGUAGAAAAGACAGAAAAUACAAACUUAAACUACAAGACUGCAUUCUCAUUUCUUUACUAGCUGUAACCUAACCCAGUGAAAAAUCGGGCAUAGGGGUGUCAAAAUCUGAACGGCUGUUAGAAUCUAACAUCUAAUGCAACUGACCAGCAAGUUGUGCCAUCUCGAGAGCAAGUCUCCAAUCCAAGCCCUUGGCAGUCAAUGUUUCUGAUUGAAGCUUCACAAUUGAAAAUAGAUGCAUGUUUCAGAGGGGAUCUAUAAACAAAGUCGCAAAAUAAUUUGUUCCAGUUACGGAUUAGCUUUCAAUGGAGAGGAAGCUCCAUUUUCUUGAGGAUUAGACGGUGAAGUUCUUGGUCUCUCUCUUAGAAAGCUUUUUCCAUACAGGGACCCAAAGACAAUAACCUGACAUUGAAUUUGAACAGCCAAUCAUUUAGCAUUCCACAAAACAUGUAGACAUAGAGCAAAAAUUGCGAUUCAUGAUGCUUACAGCUCCAAUACACUGUUCCCAGCUGAGUGGGUGGGCAAACCAUACACAGGACAGCAGAAUGCUCACCAACUACAACAACAGAUGGAUAGGGAAUCAUUACUAUUUCUUUAUAGGUGCCGCCAAAAUAACAGAAUCACUAAAAUUUCUUUCUAUUCAAAUGAUUUUGUUUCACGGGCAGUUUAUGACAGCUGCUAGAAUUUAAGGAAACUAUUAACAUACCUGUCUUGUGGUCAUUAUGGUCGCAAACGUCAGAGCACCAAACGUGCGGAUUGUAUAAGAAAUAAAGAAUUGGCUAACUGUUGCUACCUGCAUGCAAAUGAAUGUAGCAUUUUAUAUGUGUUUGUGAAAAAAGAGUAUCUAAUGUGCUUGCAAUUAAGAAAAGUAUUUCUAGGCACAAUACAAGUCGCCACACCACCAAGUCCUUUAAUCUUUCACUUGGACUUAAAAUUCUAAUUUCACAACUGACCCCCUCAACUUGUGCACAUUUUGUUUAUAGCAAAUAGAACUUGAUCAAAACUCGACUCCUUGUGCACGUAAAAAAAAAAAAAAAGGUUACCACAAAAGAAAUGUCCUCAUAACUUUUGAACGCGUUUUAAUUACAACUCCUCACAAAUACUUUUCAACAUAACAUGAUCAAAUUGUACAUGCAUUACUUCAUGUAAUCAUUUUUUAACAAUCUAUUGUAAGAUAUUCAGGGUAUGUACAAGUUUAUGCCUUUAUACACAUAUUCUGACUGCGAGAGAGAUCACACAGUCUUCUUCAAGUGACGUCAUCUUGUCAUGUAUAAAUGGUCAAUUUUCUGUGAAGUACCAUUCAAUGAAAGCAAAUUUAGAAGUUGCAGAGGCAACUGGUCAAUCAGAAGCAUGAAGGGGAAUGAUUGUGCUAGUUUGAGAGAGGAGUUUGUGUUCUAGCCCAUGUAGCAAUAGACAUGAAUAUUAUUUCAGAGUACGCGUUUACUUACAGUUGAUAGCAAUAUAAUAUCAAAAAAGCAAUCAUGGUGCCGAGAUACAAAAUCUAUUGCCAUCAGCAGAUUGCCCUGUAAGAUUAGACCUACAAGGAAAAUGUUAAAAUAAAUAUCAAUGAUUGGGCAUUCAACUGAGAAAAAGAGUUUCAAGGAAAUACAAAAAGAAGUGCAACAUAAACAGAGUUUCAAUAAUAGUGCCUUUUGCUUGCAUUAAUUGUUUUAGUAGUAAUACAUGUAUGUAUAUGUAAAUAGAAACAAAAAGGAAAUCCAACAUGUAAAUUCUAUUGAGCUUCUUAUUUUCCGAGAAACUAACUCAAAACUGUCACAUAGCAUACACCCAAAAUUUUGGGGCAAAACUUCGUCCAAUUGCAAGCAUUGUGCAACUAACCGAACGUUCAAAAAAGAAAACCAACAAAAAAGGGAUAAUUUUUUCAGCUUAACCUCCUUUGCUUUAUCUUAUCAUUGUUUAUUUCCUCAGAAACUUUAAGUUAUAAAGAUCCUCCCAAACUUUAGAAAAAAAUUGAUUGCCAAAUUAUUGGAAGAAACUAAGAACACAUUUCACACGAUUCCAAACACUGACAACAAAGAAAGAAAAUGCUGGCGCAGUGGGAGAUGCUGUCGAUGUUUGUCAAAAGCCUUUAGGAAUUAUUUGCCCCUUUCAUCAAGUUAAAGAUAGAGCCUAAGAGAUGCAGAGCAAACAUGAAUUUAAUAACAAGAAUUUUCCAUAAAAUUGGACGAAUUUGGUUCAACUUCCAAGUUUUGAAACUUGUAAGCAAUUAACAGAACUGUUGGAAGCAGAUUUGGUCUAAACGUGAAGAAAUUUAGGUAGCAUAUUUACAGGUAAAAACAUGCCUGGAUAACUCUACAUACUGACAUAUCACAAAGCAGGAUCAACUUUCUCCAGCCAUGGAAAAUAACUUGAACUAUUAUAAGCCAUUUAUGUCUUGUAACCUAAAAACAGAAUUCUGGGAAUCAAAUAACUCAAGAUUCCCUUAAGAAGUGAGAUUAGAUGCCAAUGAUUUAGGGGAUUUGGAUAAUAUAAGCCAUACCAGUAAAACUCAGCAUACAAGAGCAAAGGGUUGUGUAGAAGAUCUGAUUGUGUAUGUCCAUAUCAUAUCCUUUAAAAAGUUUAUCCUGGAACGUGCUUGUAAACCCAUCAAACCUGGAAUUACAAGUGAUAAGUUACACGCUGGUGGAAAAUAAAAUUGCAAUUGCUAACUUCUUCAAUGAAUUAUUUAGGAUGUAAAACCGCAUCAGACAUUCAACAGGUUGAAUAAUAUAACUCAAAAACAGCAAAUCAUUAAAUUAAAACAAUACAGAAGCAAAAGAUUGGUGUGCUAUAAUUUUCUAUACACCAUUAUCAAUAAUAUCAUCUGAUGGGACAUGUAGUAUGCAAUGGCAGUCUGCAGUUGCAUGUGUUCAACAUGACUGCUUGGGACAACUAGUUUCAACAGAAACAGAGCAUAUGCACAAACAAACAUCCAGUCUUUGGCGAUUGUACUAGAUUGCUCCUACUAAAUACCCAAACAGUAUAGAAGAAACUGGGAUAGCCAGGACUAUUACUUGUCAUGAGAAAAGUGAUCAGAACUUUGAGCUCAGCAGACAAAUUGAGUUGCAGCCAAUGCCCAUCUUUCAGAAAGGAGGGAAAAAGGAAGCGAAGAGGCAGAUGGAGGGUGAAAUUGGUAGCAAUGGACUGAGCUCUGAUUUUCAUGAGAGAGAGAGAGAGAGAGAGAGAGCAACCCACUUCUAGCGUGCCACAUUUCAUCUAUUUUCUUGGGCAUAUCAGCAAAUGGUCAAUCCAUUGCUAUCAAAAAACUUCUUAAAAAGCAAACAGACUUUCUUCUCUGAGUUAACUAUGCCUCUCUCCCACUAAAACCAAAUUUGAACAAAACAGUGCACUAGAUUAAUCUCAGUCCAAGUGUUUUAAAAAUUCUUCUUUUGAACAUGUUGAAUGACACUUGCUGCAUUCUAAGCUCCACUACAAAGCAGAACUAUAGGAAAAAGGAAAGUAAUACAUGAUCAUUGACAUACAAAAAAAGCCAUUAACCUGCCUAUUAAGCUGAAGUAGUCACUGACAGACCCACUCCUCACAUGCUCACGCACAUGGCAUCCAGCAUAAAUUCAAAAAUAAAAAUCAAUCUCCAGAGGCCACUUGACAACUUUAUUUCAAUUGAAAACUUAUGCUUAUGAAAAAGCCUAAGGCCCCUUUUUGGAAUGGAUAAUGUAAGUUUAGAAUUACAUACCCCAAAUAACCAAUCAUCAGGGAGACACCCCAAACUGUGCUUUCCCUUCCUCUACUGUAAGGACUAAUAUCGCCUGCUGCCUACAACAAAAAGAACAACAUUUUUAAAUAGCUGCAUCACACAAUCAAUACAACGUUAGCACCUAGGAUCCUCUGGAUAAUAUAUGAUACUAAAAACCUGGUAUAUUAUUCAUCAAAUGAAGGUAUCGUGGUUUUUCUACAGCCAAUACUUAGCCUUCACAAGUUCGUUAUGAAUAGAACUUAAAGCCCAAGAGAAAGAAUCUGAUGCUUCAAGCAUGACAAACAGCAAUAUAUUAAGAACCACCUAUUACAGCCAAAUAUCCUGUAGGCUUCCACAUGAAUCUCACAUUACUAUUAGUAAUGAGUAAUUUUAUAGCUAACAUAAUGUGAUGGAGUGCUGGCAACAUAUAAGACUGUUUUGCCUAUGCAUGAACAAGUUUUCAGUAAGUUUAAGUUGAUUUUCUCCCUAAUGCAAUUGUUUCCUUGCGACACUUUCCUUGAAGCCAUGAGAACAGAAUGUUUAAAUUGUGUACAAAUAUAACUUAAGUAAAGAUUCAAAAGCUAAAAUCCUUCAGGUAAAUUUAAGACCUGAUUGGACACCCGGUACUUGACAGGUUCCUAACACAGAUUCAAUGAUGUAAUAGCAACUGCUUUCAGUCAAGUAGAAAUAAAAUCCAAGGAUCUUUAACUGAACAUUCGGGUAUCGUUAAUGCUACUUCAUUUAAAUUGGCAGGAUAAAGGAGAGCUGAAGUGUUAACAUUCAUUAGCUUCUCUAGUAGGGUGGUUUAUGAUGUUGAGCUCAUAUUGCAUUUAUCCUGCAUAUGCAAGGAUAAAAUAAUACACCAAAAGAUGAUACACCAAAAGAUGAUUAGGGAUUUGGCAAUAGUUGUUACCGGAAACAGAAUAAAUAUUGAACACCCAACUGUCACCAAGAAUGCCAAUGCAUAAUCUUUGAUAUAGUACUUCUUUUGCAUUAUGAUAGAGCCCCAAAGCUGCACAGUAACACGAGGAAAUGCAAAGAGAAAGGGAAAACGUUAAGCAAAAUUUAGAACAGAUAAUGUCAAAAGCCAAAUAUUACUACAAGAACUGCAAUACAAAGAAGCAGAGAAAUAAUGAAUUUACAUGCAAGGAUAUUAUGAAGUUAGCCCAAACCAGCAACUUAAUAUUACCAAGGAAACACAUUUUGCCUUGAUUGAACCAUCCAUAUAAGAGUCUUACAUUAGAAGCCAAAGAAAUAUCGAUAUACAAGACGUCAUAACAAUCUAUCAAAAUCAGCAGGUACAAAAAGAAUACAAAAUCAGCUGCCAGCUAAAGCAGAAAACCAAGCUCUAUGAUGGACAUUAAGCUGGAAAAAUGGUUGAUGACAACUUUUGAAGUGUAUUUGCUUGUGAAGAAAAUGAAACUAAACCACAGGAUUCAUGUGGUCAAGAUUGACUAGACAAGAAUCAAACUAUAACUUAAAUUCUGCCAACGUGGAAGAAGAAAAUAUUUGCCACUAGCAGAGAUAAGGUGCCAGCUCAAUUUCACCACCACCAAGAAAACCAAGAAGAAAUGACAAAGGAUCAACAAAGCCAAAGAAUAUAGUACCACAGAGAAGUUUUAAAUUCUAGAAAAUAUGAUAAAGAUGCCAAACUGAUACAACACGUAGGAUUAACUUACCAUGACAGGUAUCAUUUUAGCACAUUUAGCCAGAGUCUGAACAGGAAAACUGACGUAUUUAAGGGCCUGGAGUGAGCAUAUAUCAGAAACACUUACAAGCAUUAGAUACCUCUGAUGUAUUUAGACUGUAUUAAUUUAAUUUAAAUCUAUAGGUAGAAGAAUGCAUUCUUUACUUUUUCUCUUCAGAAUAAAAAAUUCAGUAUGCGAGGAUACUUGUGCAAGAAUGAAAUGACUUACCUCAUACUGACAUGUUGUUGUGAGUAUGUUAGACACAGAAACAACACAAUACUUGUAUAACGGAGCCACAGGGUCCAAAAAUUUUUACUUACCUGAGAGGAGAUAAAAUACAGAGUGAUUUUUCAGCAAAGAAAAAACAAAAACACCACAAAAAGGAGGUCUCAAGGAUGUGCAUCACUUCUCAGACAAACACGUGUCAGAAAUUCUUGCAUAACUUGGUAAAUAACAUGUAUCUUAAGCUUCGGAAACUUGCACUGCAUGCUUUUCCUCACAGCAGGCAAAUAAGGUAACAGAAAAUGAUGGAACAAUGUUGCAACUGCAGGGUUCAAUUUGAACACUUCUAUUUUCCAGUCAGGCAUUAAGCAAACAAAUCACUCGAGCACUAGAUGGGCUCUUACUAAUAAAACUCCAGCUGAAACAGCAGAAGUUGAAAUUCGAUUGCAGAAGACAAGAAACAAGGAAUAUCUGAAAUAUUCUUUGUGAGGCCCAUAAGGAACUCUCAUGAUCUUUUCCUGCAUGCACAAAAAACCAGAAUAACAUUAUUGAAACACAAUGAAACAAUGAACGCAUAACAGUUACAUUUCAAACAAAUCUCAAAUAAAGAAGGCAAACCAUAUUUGCAAUCAUCGUCAGCAAAACAUGACCAAAUAACAUUCUGCAAGGUGACACUUUAUUCAGAAAUGUUCCUAGCCACAGAGGAUUACUAUCCCCAAUAGCUCUCAUUGCCACAUGUCUUGAUUACAUUUCUCUAAUUUCCAAUGAAAUAUAUUAAAGUAGGUAAAGACAUCAAUAAAUUGACAAAGCAACGACCUGUCAUGGAAAGGAUUUGAUUCCAAAUCUGCAUCUUUCUAAAGCAAGGUGAUCAAAAGACUGUAAAGUGCUUCACACUCCCAUUUCACAAAAUAAAACACAGUGACUGUAAAAUUUUUUGAGCUUUCGGCCAACCUUGACAAAGAAAAACAACACAGUCUACGAGUGCUCCAUGUAUUGCCUACCAGCACCUCAUGUCUAAUUCUAUCCAAUCAGGAAAAACAGCUCAAAAGCACCUAUUUUUCCCAUAAGAAUACCAUGUAACUAAUUCUAACCAACUUCGCCUUCUCAUUUCCACCUCAAAGACGCACAUAUGCACACACACAGAAUUAAAUCCAAGAACAUUUGAACAAAAUCAAAUUUAAAAAAACAUUUGAAUCGAAUACGAAAGCUGGGAAGAUAAACUAAUCACUAAAAAGCCGAUACCUGUAAAACACCAUAAAUAACGAGCGUCGACAUGAUUCCAGUUACGGCGAAUAUUCCUUUCAACAGCUUGUUAUCUUUCGCCGGUAGCGGUGACGAAAGUGACGGCGGCUCCGCCAUAUCCCAUCCACUCCCUCCUCCACCUCCUAUUCACCAAAUCACACAUAAAAAAGGAUUAAAAUUAUCAUUUCAAUAAACUGCAAGAGUAUAGGAGAGCGUGCAGAACGUCGUCGCAGCUCACCGGAGGCUAAUUAAUAAGCGGAAGCACAAACGUAGAAAGCGUGGGGCUGUUACUUGUCCCUGAGCUCAGAAUUCGAAAAUCGUGCCGAGCAAGAAUCGGAGAUGAUUAAAUGAAAGAUAACACCCCGUUACGGUUACGUUUUGGUCUUCGAUUUUGCUUCCGAUCCGUCGGUGAGUUUGAGCUGGCUCUCGCCUCCUCUCACUUGCUCGAUUUCCUUUUCUUCCGUUCCCGUUCCGUUCCCGUCCUUUUGAAAUUCUUACUUAGUUAGAAGCCAGGAAGCCUUGCCACGUCAGCAUGAAAUGGGUAAUGGAGCCCGCUGGUCCGAUCCAGACCUCACAAAAAGUGGAAGAAAUGGGUAACGAGGCUGCUUUAUUUUUUCCGGAUAAAAUAGUUCUACUUCGCGAUUAUGGGCUCAGGUGAGAUUAUAAAAAGAUACUACUAUUAUUCAUUCUUGACUGUUGCGUGAUUUAACAGGAACCAUUCCCGGCCGUUGGAUUCAGCGACAAAAAGUCAACCAUCUUUUAUUGGAGUAUGGAAUUUGCGGUUUAUCGCUACACUAGUAGUACAAAUACGGGCCGGCCACAUAUAAUUUUUGUUGUGACAUGCUUAGGAAAUAAGAAACUGUUCAGUUAAUUGGGACAUGGGGUAAGCUAUUUAUCUCCAUUUGUAUUUUCCUCUCAAUUUUGGUCAAUGCUUUACAGUUCUAUAGUUUGAAGUAGGACCCCCCCCCUUUUUUUUUGUUAUGAUUGGUGAAGAACGAAGAUUUAUCAUAUUAUUGUUAUACUUGUCUAGUAACUACAUGUUCUUGCUUCCCAGAUUUUGCAGGAUUAGCUGACAAACACAGAAGUAAAAGCAGCAGCACCAACCGAAUAUGGGGCCAAUUAAACAACCAAUGAAAUUGGUUAGUGAAAACAGUUGAUGGCAUGUUCUUGCAGCUUGAAGCUCUGAUUUUCUGUGCAUUGAGUCCAUCAUGAUAGAUUAAGGUUCCGUUUGAUAAAACUGAAUCUGAAUUUUGAAGUCUGAAUUCUGAAAUCUGAAUACUGAAACAAUUAAUUUGCUAAAUUUUAAAUACUGAAAAAAUGUAUGAAUGUCUGAAUUUUAAUGUUAAACCUAUUUAUACUAUUUGGUAAACAUUUAUAAUUGAAUGUUUAAUAAGUUAAAUUUGACAAUUUUGCCCUUAUAUCUUUUCAUCCAAAAAAAAAAUAGAACCUAUGAUUUAAUUAGCUAAAAAUGUUAGGUAUGAAAAUGAUAAUAUUUAUUUUUAAAUCAAAUUAAUAUAAAAGAUGAAUUAUAUUAUAUGAGGAGUAUGGAGAAUAAGUGAAAGUCAUUCAAAAGAGAGAACAGAGAAAUAAAAAAUCAUUAGAUAGAAAAUAUUAGGCUGUUUAAUUAUAUAAUAAUUUUGAACAUAAUUAAUAAACAAGGGUAGAUUUGGUAGAUAAGAUAAGGUAGUUGAAGUAAUUCUAUUGAUUAUUAUCAGAAUUAAGCAUUCAGUUAGGAUUCUUGUGCUGAAAAAAAUACACAUAAAUUCAGCACUACUUAACAAGUUCAGCAAAUGAAUUUUCAUUUAUCAAACACUCAAAACAUCUGAAUGUUUAAAAAAAUUCAAAUUCAGCACUCUUUUAUAUUAUUAAACAGACCCUAAGAGCACAUUGAGAAGACAAAAAAUCCAGAGGCUCACCAGAGGGUGCAGUGGUGUAGUUCCUGGUCUGCAGCGUCACUGUCAUAGUGUCAUCCCCUCGUACAAGUCUAAUUGAGUUUUCCCUCCCUCACGGCAUAUGAUAGAGUAGAUUGUUGACAUAUUGGACAAAUUUUUGAUGUCCAUUAAUGUAUCAAUUUUUUUUUUUUAAUACAAGAGUGUCAUGAACUCGUGGAUCAGAUUAAUCUCCUACGACUAGCAGAGCCCUGCCCAAGGAUGCCAGCACGCUACCAACAAGGGUCAAAUUGAAGGCUUACCGCUAAAGAGCGGAUGACAGAACCAGACGAGCUAUCCGCUGGGGGAUAUGUCCAUUAAUGUAUCAACACAAAUCAAAUGUUGUAUGAGUAGAUGAAAGGUAGACUCAAUAAUGAGAGUGAAUGGGAUAAAUAAUACUUCAAUUUUCAAAAUCCCUACUCUUGGUUUUUAUUAAUCUUGUAAACCAAAUAUAUGUAUUUAUAACCAAAGAAUUAAAAAAAAAAAAAUUUUGCUCAUCACAGAACGACGUUCACUUCAUAUAUUCCUUAGUCCACUUUCCUUCUUCUUAGUAAGAAUUUCAGAAGCUCACAAUUAAACUCGCACAAUACAAACUUUGAUGAUUAAGUGUCACUUCAUUCCUCUAUCAAUGGAUCAAGACAAAUACUUAAAUAGCCGGUAUUGGAUAAUGCUAAAGAAAAUUAGAGGUCUGGAGGUGGUGGUCUUUCUUUUCUGCUGGCAGAAGCACGCCUCAUGCAAUAGACGAUGGAACCAAAGAAACCAAGAACAAGAUAACGAGAGUUGCAGCUAUUUUUAUUGGCCCAAAACUUUAUGGAUUGUAUAGUUGUGUUUCACCAUCAAUUGGUUCCUCGUAUUUCAGUCGGCCAACGUUAUAGCUUCAGAACUGUUGUGCAGGAGUAGGACUAGGGAUAUACGGGAAGAGACCAUGCGUUUCCACUUGCUGGGCUGUUGGGGUGCCUGGAGGCUUGUCUGAUGAGAGCUCUAGUUCAUCGCAGAUUAAUCCAAAUGGCUCUCUCUUUAGUGCCUCGAUGAGCCUUCUUCAACAACUUUCGGCGCCUUGGAUGCUGAGAUAACACCUGAAACAAUUGAUUUCUUUGUCAGUGAUGCUGAGGGCGAUCCUGAUUGCCCCACUGCAGGCUAUUCUUCGAUUGAACAAGCCCUGAAUAUGUUGCGCAAAGGAAAGGUUGGUAGCAUCGUUUGGAUGGUCUAAUAAACAUCAAACUGAUGAGGUUGAGAUUUUCUUCUGUUUCUUGUACUUUUCUCGCUGUAAAACUGUUUCAGUCUGUGAUAGUUGUAGACGAUGAAAAUGAAGAGAUUGAAGGAAAUCUUGUGAUGGCUGCAUCUUAUGCGAAUCCACAAGCUGUUGCAUUUUUGUUAAAACAUGGAUCUGGAAUUGUUUCAGUAGGAAUGAAAAGUGACGAUCUUGAGAGGUUACAGCUCCCUUUGAUGUCACCUGAAAACGAAGAUGAUUCUUCUGCUCCAUCUUUCACGAUUACAGUGGUAUGGCAACAUUUUUAUAUCUAUUUUAGUUCACUUACUGCCAUUUUAUUAGGUUUCCAUUUCACCAGGAGAUGAUGAACUCAAAUUUAGAGAACAGGAAUAAAAAAAAUUCAUGAAUAAGGCAAGGAAUGUGACAACAAUUAUAGGGACCGGGCAACUUAAAACACCCUUGUUUAGUCCUGCCAGACACUUCCUAUUGUUCUUUUUCUUUAUUUCUUUGUUUUUAUUUAAUCUGUUUGAACACAAUUAGGAUGCCAGAGUGGGCACUACUACUGGUGUAUCAGCUUCAGACCGGGCUAAGACAGUCCUUGCACUCUCAUCUCCUAGUUCCAGGCCCGAAGAUUUUAGAAGGCCAGGCCAUGUCUUUCCCCUCAAGCAUCGGAAUGGUGGGGUUUUGAGGAGAGCUGGACAUACUGAGGCUUCUGUUGAUUUGGUUAUGCUGGCUGGCCUGCGGCCUACAUCUGUACUUUCUGCAGUUGUUGAUGGAGAGGAUGGCUCCAUCGCAUCCUUGCCUUGUUUAAGAAAGUUAGCCCUGGAGCAGAACAUCCCAAUUGUCUCAAUUACGGACUUGAUCAGGUAAGCUACUGCCAACUUACUGCAGUGGAUUCCCUUCAUAGAAGCUAUUGCCAACUUACUUCAUUAGAAAGUUUCAGAAGAGCUCUGAUUUUCAUUACUGGCUGCAUUAUCAAGUUAACCUUUAUCUAGUAGAUAUGCCCGAGCUUGAGUAUGUUACAACAAGUGACAUGUAAAAGAGAACCCUCAGGCAUAUGAUAUUCUCUCUUCCUGCUGUAAUGCAUACUGUGUUUUUUCUUCCUUCAGUCAGUUAUGACCAAUCCACAAUGCGUCUCCAUAACAACGGGUGUUCAAUUACUUGUAGGUAGGAGAAAGAGGGAAAAUCUGGUUGAAAGGACAGCAAUUUCUCGUUUGCCGACUAAAUGGGGUUUAUUUCAGGCUUACUGUUAUCGCUCAAAGCUUGAUGGAACAGAACAUAUAGCAGUUGUAAAGGUAAACGAACUACGAUUUGCAGAAGAAGGAAUCCCAGUUUGAUCAUCAUAGUUUGUUUAAAGCCUCCUUUGUCCUUUAAAAAUUUACAGGGGGAAAUUGGAAAUGGUCAAGAAGUCCUAGUAAGGGUUCACUCUGAAUGUUUGACAGGGGAUAUUUUUGGGUCAAGGCGAUGUGAUUGUGGAAAUCAGUUGGAUCUGGCAAUGCAGUUAAUUGAGAAAGCCGGCAGGGGAGUUGUUCUCUAUCUCCGGGGCCACGAAGGGAGGGGUAUUGGCCUAGGUCACAAGCUUCAGGCCUAUAACUUGCAAGACCAAGGCCAUGACACUGUGGAAGCCAAUCUUGAGCUUGGUUUUGCAGCAGAUGUACGCGAAUAUGGGAUAGGUGCACAGGUCAGCUCAAUACUUAAUGAUCUCUUCUCAACAGAUGGUUGUUUCUUGAGGCUAAAUUCUACAAGGCUUUGGUUUCAAAUACUCCCAGUUUCAUUAGCACUAAUAACGAUGAAGCUUUUUGACAAAUGAUUGCAACAGAUACUACGUGACAUCGGAAUUCGUACCAUGCGCCUAAUGACUAACAACCCGGCCAAGUUCAUCGGUCUGAAGGGCUAUGGUUUGGCAGUUGUUGGACGGGUUCCAGUUUUGACUCCCAUCACCGAGGAAAACAAGAGGUAUUUGGAAACUAAGAGAGCAAAGAUGGGGCAUAUCUAUGAAUCCGGCGAACGAGGACUAUUGGAUGCAUUUAUUAACCCAGAUAUUGAUGAAAAUGAUCCUCCUGAGGAAAUCCAGAGAAAAUGAAUGAUCACUUUGGUUUCAUAUAGAAGCUCUUCUCUCCACUUUGUGGUUUCUGGGUCCAUUUUUUCGUUUUUAUGAAAUAGUCAUUGUUGAAAAUCAUUGAUCUUCUGUAUGUAUUCAGUGCAGAAAUUUAUUUGAUCACUUCAGGUUCACAGAUACAAAAGAGAUAAUAAAACCUCUCGGGGAAUGUUACCACGAAUUUACUUCUUUAUGAUCAUUUUCCUGCUUGAAAUCUUGGAAGCUUUCUGAUUCAGUAAACUUCAGAAGUACGAACUUUCAAUCUGUCAAGCACUCAGAAAUAAAAAAUAGCCCACACUGUACUUGAGAGCCAGCCAAGGCAAGUUAUAGGCAUAACUUUCAAGUUUAAAGCCCUGUUUCCCGGAAAGAUAGAAGCAUGCAAGUGAUUGAAACAGCGCUAAACUAGAAGAAAAAUGUUCUAACAUAUCCUUUUCAUACAGUGGCGAGAGUAGACGUGCAAAAUCCUGUCUAAGGAUCAUGUCGUUCAAGAAGCAAUAUCACUGUGCAGCGAGAGAGUUACGGCAGUUACCGAAACAAAAAGUUGAAACCCAUUGAUCUACAACCAAUAGUGGAUUUAAGAUGCAAUCUAAAUUCUCGACGUGUCAUAUUACAAGACAAAUUGGUCUUGAUUUUCUUGGUGGUUUCGGCGUUUUCUUUUGGCAGCUUCUUCCUGUAUCAAUUCAGCUUUUGAGACAGGCGUGUAUGUACAACACUACAGGCUGAUCUUACAAGAUCAUCAGAAAGAAUUGACAUCCUUUUUGUUUUGACUAUCAGCACACGGGACUAGUGGGGAGGCCCGCUAGUGAUUUUCUGUAUACUUCGGUGUAUUCAACAAACUUUGGCCACAAAAAUGUUUCUGAUCCCAUUCUGAUGCUAUGUCUUUUUCUCGAAAGAUUGUCAUAUGUCAUUUAACAGUUCGUCUCACCUUCUCGUAUCAAAAAAGAAUAUCCAUGUACUAUCAUCCCACCGGGUGCUACUUUCAAUCAUGAUGGUUCAUUCCCUUGGAUGACCAACAUCAAUGGCUAUUUGAGUUUCCAUCCUCUGUAGAAGUUUGCAAUACGUGGGAUCGAAGAAUUUGGUAGUUUUCUGCUCUUUCUUGACUGAAUUCUUCCCUCCUCAAAGUUUCUAGCAACGUGUACACGGAUACCGAGUGUUCCUGGUGCAUUGUUAGAUUAAAGACGUAUGAUCUGCAUAGUGGGCAGCUGGAAUGAGUCUGAAACCAAGCAUCAAUGCAGGAGACAUGAAAUACAUGAGAACAAUGUGGUAAAUGCUUCAGCCAUUCACCUUCUUCAAACUCCCCCAAACAAACUGCACAAUCUGUAAUUCCUUUACAGGUUUCUUCUUCAUUAUUCUUCUUGAAUUGCGUAAUGGGCAGCGAGUGCAUAACAAAGGAAUCUAGUCCACGGCUUUGGAGCUGUAGAGAAGGAUCAUCAGCGACAGCGUCAUGCAGACGUCGACUUUGGCCUUGAUUCCGGGAGUUUGUUAUUGAACCAAAGUGACUGCAAUGACGUUGAAGAAUCUUCUGAUAGCUGAACAAAAGGAAGAUGCAACAAACGACAACAACCAAUGCAAUCACCAUGGGAUUCCAUUGUGAAUGUUCAAAGCCUGAAGUUGGGGGCGGGCUUGGUGGCAUACUGCUGCUGAGUGCAGAGUAGUAUGAAGCUUUUUUGCUUGGCUGAUACCCUUCAACGAAUUAAAUCUGCAUGCAGAAUAUCUUGCUAGAACCAAACUCUUGGAAUGGAUAUCUUGCUAGAACCAAACUCUUGGAAUGGAGUAGGUCUAAAAUCUAAAUAGUACUACUACCUGUGUAUUUUUGGAGUAAUGAAGUAGAGUGCAUUUUUUGACCGAGAAAAAAGUUAAGAGAAGCCUUAUUCUUGGAAAGAACCAAACUCUUGCUAGAAAUUUUGAAAUUAAUGGUAACGAUCAGCACAAUGCAAUUAGAGUUGUGACCAACAAAAUUUUGUUUGAUGAUUUUGAGGAUAAAGACUUGCAUUAAAACUUCCAAAUGGCAUUGCAUGUCUACUCAUUGUUGUUGUCUUCUUGGUUAACAAUGCAAACAAACAACUCCAUUAGGCCAUUCAGGAAGGUGAAAAACGCCAGCUUGCUCUUACUUAGUGUCAAUGAUUCCAAUCUUCUUUGGACAAGUAGCGAACAAUGCUAAUUUUUGUCUUUUUUGUUCUCAUCACCAUUCUCCAAGAUUCCGUGGCUGCAGAAGGGAUGGUCAUUAUUAUUAGGCUAAACUUUUGCUGUGGUCUUGAAGUUGGGACAUUGGAAUUUGUACAAAAAUUUCCCAGACAAACCUCGUCAGGGGACCUCACCUUCGCAUAACACAAUCCACUAUUGAAAUGCUUUAGUAGGAAGACGAUGAUGAUAUGGAAUGCAUCCCCAGCCUCAGCUUGACAGCUUGUGCACUGGCACCUCAUAACUGCAGCAUUGGUAAAUUCUCACACACGUAUGUGAAUUCUAAGUUUUCUGGCUGUGCACUGGUAAAUGCUUGUCAAUAUACACAAACAGAACACGAAGGACGUAAGUUGUCUGCAAUCGAGCAGGUCAGUUUUUAUAUCGUCACCCACCGUCUAUGGCUUGAUGUGCUUUACUUAGUUUUCUCCAUUUGUCAUUUUUUUACGUUAGUUUAUAAUCGGCAAUACCUCUGAUAAUCUUCGCCAUUGCAUAUUGCUCCCUAUCGUCCAAUGGCUGAUUGAUACAACAGAAUGGAACUAAACGAAGCGCGAUGAAGGACAUAGCAUGUAGUAGUUUUAUUGGAAAAAUUGAAAUCGCCGCCGCGUGGCCCACAUACACAUCUUUUAUGUAUAAAAAGAUCAAAUUUCACUUUUUAAAACAAAAAUAAAUGUGAUUUAUGCAGGAUCCUACCUUUUUUUUUAGAGAAAAAAAAUGAAUAUAGAUCAGUCAUUUGUUUAACUACAAAUGGGAUCAUACUUUUUUGCCCUAAAAAAAUGAUCAUGCGGGAUUAUGUGUUAUUUCAAACAAAAAAUUAGUUAAAAACUUUGAUUGUGACCAAAUUUUAUUAACUCAAAUUUAUAAGGUACAUAAAGUGAAUUAUUUUUAAAAAUUCAUUUGGCAGAAGAAUAUGGAGAUCUUUUUGAAUGAUUUUUUUUAAAAAAAAAAAUUUAUUCAGCACAUCGACAAUUAAGUACUUUUGACUUAAAUUGCAACUCUAAUAUACUAUGUCGGAGAGUUGCAUGUGUUCAUUCUCUGACGGUUUAUUCUUCUUCACAAGUUGUCUUGUUUGAUCGUCUACUUUUUCACCGGACAAUCACUGACAGGCUGUCAACUACAGAAAAAGGCCAAGCUAACCAAACUCUUUCUGAUUGGUUCAACAUUGAGAAAAUGAUCAAAGAAUUUCUGCGUACAAAUAUUACUUGGGUUUAACACAAUAAUGACAAGAUAUAUAUAUAUAUUACUAAAAGUUUCAUAGCACCAUAAAAAUUUGCAUUUAAAUGCAUUCAUGUAGACAAAUCCUUAAAAAGAUUUCAAGUCCAAUGCAAAAUCUCAUGAGGAGAAACUCAUCAUUUGAAAGGUUUUCAAGACUUUCGAGAGGAAAAACUACGCAGUGGAUAUAAAGUAUAUACCAGUAAUUGGAUUAUGACAACCAAAUUUCCAAUUGCCCAAUCAAAUUGGAUCAAAUGAGUUUGAGACAAACACAAAAAAGGAAGAGGAAUAUCAAUCAAAAGCUAAAAAGCUAUGUCAUUCGAACUAAUCAAUUGUAUCGCAUUUACACCACCAGCAAUCUCAUUUAUACAAAAUUGGAAUGAUAGCAUCCUCCAAAUCCUCAAUAGAGCCUCUGCCUCUUACCCAGUGAAACAUAAGUGUUUGCAUUUGCUCCAGCUGAUAUCAACCUAUCACUUCCCAGACAGGAUCCAACAGGUC